GCAUGUUUUGCUGGAAAUCCCUGUGUGCCUGAGGCCUUCUGAAGAGGAAAAUGAAACUUGGAAUGCUUUCUCCAUUAGCGCUGCUUAGCCUCGGAGUAAUAGCGGUGCUUGAGCGACUUGAAAGAAGAAACACUCUGCUCCAGCACAGCAACCAGAGCAGACAUGCUGCGUGGAGCAUGCUUAAAUCGCCAGGGAGCUGGGUGCCCCAGAAAGUUCCCCAUUAUGGCUAUUCUUUUGUGUUCUGGAUCACUGGGACAAGGCUGGCUUUUCUCCUGCCGCUACCUGUUGCUCUGAAUGGAUUCGGUGAAAGGAAGCUUUGGGAUGGCAACACUGAAAUUCUAAGCCCUGCAAGAAGAGGCGACGUCACAGCACAGACAUUUGUGAGCAGCUGUGUUCAAGGGUGAAGCACAGGAAGAGUAACGUUUCAUCCAACAUCACUGAUGAACACCAUCAGACCUCACUGAGAGCUGCAGCCACUGCCGCCGAACCACACUGAUGUGUUAGCAAGGUCAAAUAUCCC
Long non-coding RNA from Gallus gallus (chicken), 520 nucleotides. NCBI's taxonomy places the organism in Eukaryota, Metazoa, Chordata, Aves, Galliformes, Phasianidae. The record is from Ensembl.